RNAcentral lists this long non-coding RNA (1003 nucleotides) under Bemisia tabaci. Its description in RNAcentral is "lncRNA ENSSWEETPG000953". The record is from RNAcentral. Lineage: Eukaryota; Metazoa; Arthropoda; Insecta; Hemiptera; Aleyrodidae.
AAAUUAUUCGCUAAUAAUCGCCGAAAUUAUUCGCUAUUCGCUUUGUUCCGGAAAAUUCACUAUUCGUUUUACUAUUCGUAGCUGUGAAUAAUUGACUUUAAUUAUUCGCUAUUCGCGAAUAAUCGCCGAAAUUAUUCGCUAUUCGCUUCGUUCGGAAAAUUCACUAUUCGCACAGCCCUAAUGAUAUAUAUUUUAAUUUUUAAGUCAAAUUGAAACAGCUCAAUUUACCAUUUGCGACAACCAGAUUCUGUACUCAGUGUGUCUGAAUGAAUUUCAUAUUUUUUGACUAAUCUCAAGCAAAACUUCUUCAGAUUCUUGAAGUUGAGUGUUUACCUUGUGAAAAAAACAUAUUCUGUCAAGCUUCUGGAAAACAAAUAUUUUCCCGAAUCUGUUAAGAAUUUUUAGAGUUUUUGCUUGCAACUCGUCAAAAGGUUGAAAUCUGUUCAGGCACGCUGUGCAACAAGCGUAGUCUACCAACUUCUUUUCUAGGUCACUCAUACUUUUUCAUGGUAGAAAUAUUAAUCUCCUUAUGAUUUACCAGACUAUUUAGUUUUCCUGCGGUUUUGCAUGUUCAUGCUGGUGCUUGUUUUUCCAGAGUGAUGAUGUUGCUCAAUCUCUUUAUCCUUUCGUCCAUUGUGUGGCAGCUGUUCUGUGGGCGAGUAAAAGUAUCCUCAACAAUUUGUGCGAAGGAGGAAAAUCUGAUCAUAAUAAGAUUGUAACACCUCAACUUUUCAGCUUGCUCUACGAGUGGGGCUCGAAAUUGUUCUCCUCACAGUGCCUUGAAAAAAGCAGUUGAUUCAAUUCUUUGUGCUAUGUGCUUUGUGGACCCCUCACUCUUCAACACUUUCCUCACUCAGAUUGGAUUAUUGCCUGCUCUUAAUUUACUCAAAACGUAACCACCCACCGCUUAAAUAUUUUCAUUUCUUUUAUUUUUAGAGCUGUGCGAAUAGUGAAUUUUCCGAACGAAGCGAAUAGCGAAUAAUUUCGGCGAUUAUUCGCGAAU